Molecule: ribosomal RNA, 520 nt
Filed under: uncultured bacterium
Lineage: Bacteria
Description: partial 16S ribosomal RNA
Rfam family: Bacterial small subunit ribosomal RNA
Source: RNAcentral
CUAAGAAUAUUCCGCAAUGGGGGAACCCUGACGGAGCGACGCCGCGUGGACGAUGAAGGUCGGAAGAUUGUAAAGUCCUUUAUACAUGAAGAAGAAGUUAUACAGGAAAUGGUAUGAUGGUGACUGUAGUGUAUGAAUAAGCACCGGCUAAUUACGUGCCAGCAGCCGCGGUAACACGUAAGGUGCGAGCGUUGUUCGGAAUUAUUGGGCGUAAAGGGCAUGCAGGCGGUCGUGCAAGCCCGGCGUGAAAGGCGGGGCUCAACUCCGAACUGCGCUGGGAACUGCAAGGCUUGAGUUUCUGAAGGGUAGUCGGAAUUCCACGUGUAGGGGUGAAAUCUGUAGAUAUGUGGAAGAACACCAAUGGCGAAGGCAGGCUACUGGCAGAAGACUGACGCUGAAGUGCGAAGGUGCGGGGAGCAAACAGGAUUAGAUACCCUGGUAGUCCGCACAGUCAACGAUGUGCACUAGAUGUCUGUCCACGAGGAUGGGUGUCAAAGCAAACGCGAUAAGUGCACCGCCU